This 253-nucleotide ribosomal RNA is filed under the name uncultured bacterium. RNAcentral describes it as "partial 16S ribosomal RNA". It matches the Rfam family "Bacterial small subunit ribosomal RNA", at positions 524 to 776 of the family's 1533-position model. The record is from RNAcentral.
UACGUAGGGUCCGAGCGUUGUCCGGAAUCAUUGGGCGUAAAGCGCACGUAGGCGGUCCGGUAAGUCGGAUGUGAAAUCCCUCGGCUCAACCGAGGAAGGGCAUCCGAAACUGCCGGGCUUGAGUACGGAAGAGGGUCUCGGAAUUCCCGGUGUAGAGGUGAAAUUCGUAGAUAUCGGGAGGAACACCAGUGGCGAAGGCGGAGACCUGGGCCGAUACUGACGCUGAGGUGCGAAAGCGUGGGGAGCAAACAGG